This 382-nucleotide ribosomal RNA is filed under the name uncultured bacterium. RNAcentral describes it as "bacterial SSU rRNA". It matches the Rfam family "Bacterial small subunit ribosomal RNA", at positions 29 to 438 of the family's 1533-position model. The record is from RNAcentral.
AACGAACGCUGGCGGCAUGCCUAACACAUGCAAGUCGAACGAGAUCUUCGGGUCUAGUGGCGCACGGGUGCGUAACGCGUGGGAAUCUGCCCUUUGGUUCGGAAUAACAGUUGGAAACGACUGCUAAUACCGGAUGAUGACGUAAGUCCAAAGAUUUAUCGCCAGAGGAUGAGCCCGCGUAGGAUUAGCUAGUUGGUGUGGUAAGAGCGCACCAAGGCGACGAUCCUUAGCUGGUCUGAGAGGAUGAUCAGCCACACUGGGACUGAGACACGGCCCAGACUCCUACGGGAGGCAGCAGUGGGGAAUAUUGGACAAUGGGCGAAAGCCUGAUCCAGCAAUGCCGCGUGAGUGAUGAAGGCCUUAGGGUUGUAAAGCUCUUUUA